GNGAACNCUGGCGGCGUGCCNAACACAUGCAAGUCAUACGGGCUAGUGCUUCGCACUGAUAAUUUAAGGGCUCUCUCUUAAGUUACCAGUGCGGAGUACUGGCCAGUGGCGCACGGGUGAGUAACGCGUGGGAAUCUACCCGGUAGUGGGGGAUAACCCCUCGAAAGGGGGGCUAAUACCGCAUAAGUCCUACGGGGUAAAGAUGGCCUCUUAGAGGCUAUCGCUUCCGGAUGAGCCCGCGUCCUAUUAGCUAGUUGGUGAGGUAAUGGCUUACCAAGGCCACAAUGGGUAGCCGGUCUGAGAGGAUGAACGGCCACACUGGGACUGAGACACGGCCCAGACUCCUACGGGAGGCAGCAGUGGGGAAUUUUGCGCAAUGGGGGAAACCCUGACGCAGCAACGCCGCGUGGAUGAUGAAGGCCUUCGGGUCGUAAAGUCCUGUUCUGGGGGAAGAAACGGUAGCAAGCCAAUACCUUGCUAUCCUGACGGUACCCCAGCAGAAAGCUCCGGCCAAUUAUGUGCCAGCAGCCGCGGUAACACAUAAGGAGCAAGCGUUGUCCGGAAUUAUUGGGCGUAAAGAGCUCGUAGACGGUUCGGAAAGUCAGCUGUGAAAUCACCAGGCUCAACCUGGUAGGGUCAGUUGAAACUUCCGAACUUGAGGGUAGAAGAGGAAAGUGGAAUUCCCGGUGUAGCAGUGAAAUGCGUAGAUAUCGGGAGGAACACCAGUGGCGAAGGCGGCUUUCUGGUCUACCCCUGACGUUGAGGAGCGAAAGCCAGGGGAGCAAACGGGAUUAGAUACCCCGGUAGUCCUGGCCCUAAACGAUGGAUACUAGGUGUAGAAGGUAUCGACCCCUUCUGUGCCGCAGUUAACACAUUAAGUAUCCCGCCUGGGGAGUACGGUCGCAAGGCUGAAACUCAAAGGAAUUGACGGGGGCCCGCACAAGCGGUGGAGCAUGUGGUUUAAUUCGACGCAACGCGAGGAACCUUACCUGGGCUCGAACGCUUCUGGAAUCAUGCCGAAAGGUGUGAGCCGGCAACGGCCGGGAGCGAGGUGCNNCAUGGUUGUCGUCAGCUCGUGCCGUGAGGUGUCGGGUUAAGUCCCAUAACGAGCGCAACCCCUACCGCCAGUUGCCAGCGGGUAAAGCCGGGGACUCUGGCGGGACUGCCGGCGUAAGCCGAGAGGAAGGCGGGGAUGACGUCAAAUCAGCACGGCCCUUACGUCCAGGGCUACACACGUGUUACAAUGGCCGGUACAGAGGGAUGCGACCCCGCGAGGGGGAGCGGAUCCCGAAAGCCGGUCGUAGUUCGGAUCGGGGUCUGGAACCCGACCCCGUGAAGCCGGAUUCGCUAGUAAUCGCGCAUCAGCCAUGGCGCGGUGAAUACGUUCCCGGGCCUUGUACACACCGCCCGUCAAGCCAUGGGAGCCGGGGGUACCUGAAGUGCGUGGCCGCGAGGAGCGCCCUAGGGUAAGACCGGUGANGGG
Molecule: ribosomal RNA, 1483 nt
Filed under: uncultured bacterium
Lineage: Bacteria
Description: 16S ribosomal RNA
Rfam family: Bacterial small subunit ribosomal RNA
Source: RNAcentral